AUCUACCUGUGGUGUACGACCACCUGUUAUUUUGAACCUACAACUUACAGCAGGGAGACGGAUAUGCGAAGACUGAUGUCAGGCCACAAGCUAAUUCGCUUUGCGCAGUGGAAGGCAAUAAGUCGGACUGAGUCACCCACCUAGCACAGCUAGGGCGUCAAAAUUGCAGGGACGGCAUCUUGGGAGAUAU
Molecule: non-coding RNA, 190 nt
Organism: Epulopiscium sp. Nele67-Bin004
Lineage: Bacteria; Bacillati; Bacillota; Clostridia; Lachnospirales; Lachnospiraceae
Source: Rfam